RNAcentral lists this small nuclear RNA (113 nucleotides) under Stegodyphus mimosarum. The record is from RNAcentral. Lineage: Eukaryota; Metazoa; Arthropoda; Arachnida; Araneae; Eresidae.
GUAUACAAUAAAUGCUUCGGUAGUACAUAUACUAAAACUGGAAAGAUACAGAGAAGAUUAGCAUUGCCCCUGCGCAAGGAUGUCACGUAUACGUACACGUAUAGUUGUUAUAU